CAAUAGCGUAUAUUAAAGUUGUUGCAGUUAAAGAGCUCGUAGUUGGAUUUCGGGGCAGCCUGGCUGGUCCGCCGCAAGGCGAGUACUGGUCAGCCGCCCUUCCUCUCGAAAGCCCCGACUGCUCCUCGUUGCAGUGGUCGGGUAGUUCGGGACGUUUACUUUGAAAAAAUUAGAGUGUUCAAGGCAGGCCUACGCCUGAAUACAUUAGCAUGGAAUAAUGGAAGAGGACCUCGGUCCUAUUUUGUUGGUUUCCAGGGCCGAAGUAAUGAUUAAGAGGGACAGUUGGGGGCAUUCGUAUUUAAUUGUCAGAGGUGAAAUUCUCGGAUUUAUGAAAGACGAACAACUGCGAAAGCAUUUGCCAAGGAUGUUUUCAUUAA
RNAcentral lists this ribosomal RNA (377 nucleotides) under uncultured eukaryote. RNAcentral's name for it is "partial 18S ribosomal RNA". It matches the Rfam family "Eukaryotic small subunit ribosomal RNA", at positions 592 to 976 of the family's 1831-position model. The record is from RNAcentral.